AUUAGGCGCCGAGUCAGCAGAAAGUGCGGGCCGAGUCAGCACCACUGGUGCUGACUCGGCCCGCAACUUCUGCCGACUCGGCGAUCAGC
RNAcentral lists this small RNA (89 nucleotides) under Nocardioides lianchengensis. RNAcentral's name for it is "microRNA MIR1846". The record is from RNAcentral. Lineage: Bacteria; Bacillati; Actinomycetota; Actinomycetes; Propionibacteriales; Nocardioidaceae.